CAGUAGCCGCGGUAAGACAGAGGAUGCAAGCGUUAUCCGGAAUGAUUGGGCGUAAAGCGUCUGUAGGUGGCUUUUCAAGUCCGCCGUCAAAUCCCAGGGCUCAACCCUGGACAGGCGGUGGAAACUACCAAGCUGGAGUACGGUAGGGGCAGAGGGAAUUUCCGGUGGGGCGGUGAAAUGCGUUGAGAUCGGAAAGAACACCUGUGGCGAAAGCGGCUCACUGGACCAUUUCUGACGCUGAUGCACGAAAGCUAGGGGAGCAAACAGGAUUAGAGACCCCCGUAGUCCCUGUCUCUUAUAC
This 301-nucleotide ribosomal RNA is filed under the name uncultured bacterium. Its description in RNAcentral is "partial 16S ribosomal RNA". It matches the Rfam family "Bacterial small subunit ribosomal RNA", at positions 509 to 807 of the family's 1533-position model. The record is from RNAcentral.